AUGGAGCACACAAGAAAUGGUGAUCUGAAGGUCAGCUAUGAGCAGCAGGAGCUGUUCGGGCGGCGCCCGAACGGCACCUCGCCCGCCUCCAUCGACCUUGCCAGGGAGGCCGUGGACAGCCGCCCGGCAACGGCAAGGGUGACAUCGCCGCCGAAGAACACCCCGAGCCGGCAGGGCGCUUGCGCUGACGGCGAGCUCGACGUGUUCUCGGCCGAGCGUUACUUCAAGGGCGCAAUGGACGGCCACCAGCAGGAGGGCCCCGCCACGCCCACGCGCGUGGAGGCUGUGGCCGCGGGGGCGGGGGCGAGGCCAGCCGUGCCGGUGAGCGAGCCGGCAUGGACGCGUGCGUCGUCGGCGAGCGCCGGCUCGGUGGGCAGCGCCUACAGCCAGACCGUUCUCCUCCGGGAUGCGCGCCGCCGCCGGAGAUACCACUGCAUGAAGUGCUGCCUCCAGGUCGGCGUGCUCCUGCGUCUCUGCUCCGGGAAGCGGGCCGUGCGCGUGGACGGCGCGACCGCCGUGGCGACGGAGACCGCCGGAUCGAGCAAGCUGGCGGCAUCGGCGACAGCGAGCAAUAUCGAGUGGUACAAAGACCUGAGGAGGGAGAAGGCUGGCCUCGGGCUAACCGGGGACGGCCGCCGUGGCGUCGUUGCCGGCCUCCCGCCAAAUUUGAAUCUCGGGGCAGCAGGAGUGGCAGCCGUAGGGCAGCAAGAGAAGGGGGGCGAGUACACGAGCGCGAGCUGUAGGAGAGGAAGCUUCACUCUUCCUGCUCCGGUGAAAGUCAGCUGCGGCAGAGGCGGCGGUGACGACGAGGGCGGGAGCGAGUCGAGCUCGGACCUGUUCGAGAUCAAGAGCCUAAUGAUCGACGACUGCCCGCACGAGCCCGGCGAGGAAAGCGUCCAGUGGAGCGUGGUGACCGCGAGCGCGGGUGGCGGCCGCUCCGGCGCCCCGGUGGCCGUGACGCAGGACAGAGACAGUCCGGUUGGGAUAUUGACAGGCUGCCUGAGCCGCGGGCCGGUGGAUGUGUCGGCGGUGGCCGGGGUGUGCAGGUUCCCCGACCCAUCGGCGUCGGCGCCGGCGCAUUGA
This 1083-nucleotide ribosomal RNA is filed under the name Triticum aestivum (bread wheat). RNAcentral describes it as "partial small subunit ribosomal RNA". The record is from RNAcentral. Lineage: Eukaryota; Viridiplantae; Streptophyta; Magnoliopsida; Poales; Poaceae.